This is a long non-coding RNA of Triticum dicoccoides, 730 nucleotides long. RefSeq lists it as uncharacterized. The record is from RefSeq and is a predicted model, not a curated record. The transcript has 3 exons. NCBI's taxonomy places the organism in Eukaryota, Viridiplantae, Streptophyta, Magnoliopsida, Poales, Poaceae.
CUAAUCAUCAGCGCCGCCGACCACCUCUAUUUCCAUGCUGGCCAAAGCCCCCUCCACCACUUGGCGCAUCUCCACUGGCUAGCGCCACCGGAGCCACCGGCCUCCACCACUCCUACGCUGCCACAUCGCCCCUGCCUCCCUCCUCCUCCCGCAGGGCCCGCUGAAGCCCAUCUCAGGCCCGCCCCGGGUCGAUCUGGGCUCGAGGCUCCCGCGUCCUGCACUGCUGCGCGCCCGCUAGUCCGCUUGUAGCACCGCCCAGUUGACCGGCCUGAGCCACCGUCGCCCGCUACACCAGCUCCCCCACGCCUCCGCCCAACCUUGCCGCGGUCCCGCGCCGGCGAGCGCCAUCGGAGCACCACCGGAUCCGCCACCAGGGAGCCGAGCCAUCGUCGCUUGCCGCCGACCCCGGUGGCGCCGUCAUCCGGCCAGAUCCGGUGCCCAGGGGCCGGAUCUACCCAUUCCCGCCGUCAGCUGGUCCCACGCCCGCCACCUGCCGUCGUCUUCUCGCCGGAGUCCUCCGGUCGUCGUCGCAUUGGCCUUUCUCUGCUUCCCGCUCGCUCGUGCCCGUUGACCGUGCCAUGCCUCCUCUCGCCUGGACCGUGUCUCCCGAAGGCCCAAUCGGCCACCCAACGGCCUGCCUCCUCCUUCACCGUACCGGGCCGUGGCCCAUGUUUGUAGGUGCAGAUGAGUCCGUGCAGAUGACGCAACCAAGCUCAGGAGGAGAUCGAUG